Molecule: long non-coding RNA, 2728 nt
Filed under: Amborella trichopoda
Lineage: Eukaryota; Viridiplantae; Streptophyta; Magnoliopsida; Amborellales; Amborellaceae
Description: long non-coding RNA (ATRI_LNC003699)
Source: RNAcentral
GGAAAGUGAUGACUACAUUACCACUGAUCUCUGCAAUUAACUCUCCAAAGCAUAUCUCAUUGGAUUCCAAAUAAGUGUCUUUGAUUGCUUUAGUGGCUAGAGAUAAAGAGCUUAAAAAAAGCAGCUUUCGGUUAUGGGAGUAACAAUUUUCAAAAGUGAGGAACAUAGAGAGGGAGAGCAAUCUCACUCUCUCUACGGAUGAGAGGAGAGAGGAGAGAGAUGAAUUCCACAACUAUAAUAUUAACCAUAAUAGGAGAAUGAGUUUAAUUGCACGAUAGGAAUAAUUACAUUAAUAAAAAGAUAACCCCAAAAAACUAUCACAUAUUUCGAAUAAAGACUACAAAAAUUAAAAAGAUGAGUGCAAGCAAGCACACAUUUAUUAUACACAAUAAAUACAAAAAUUGUUCCAAACGCCCAAAGGCAUCGAGUAAGAAUUGUUCCAAACGCCCUAUAACGCCAAGUAAGAAUUGUUCCAAUGCUUUCGUAGAAUGGGAUGACAUUGCUAGGGCCUAUAAUAAUCUCAUCAUAAUCACAUUGUGAAGGACUAAAUAACUAUGUAUUUCAAUUAGAUCAUAACAUAUUGCAAAUAUGUCAAUGAACAGAGUAUAUUGAAAAUGUAAGGAAUAUGACAAAUUGCAAAUGCAAAGCUAAAUAUAGAAAUAACUACUGACUUCAUCUAUACAAGCAAAAGAAUUAAACCAGUCAACAAGUGGAACCACGAAAAAAGAAAUACAACAAAGGGAGUAACCCUUCAAGAAUCAAGGUUUACAGAGCAAUGCGUCUACACUAGCAAAUAAUUCAAUAUUGAACUAUAGAACAAGGUCAUCUAUAAAAGCAAACAAAGUGGAAAAUAACUUAUUGGAAUCUAAGUAUUGCACUAUAGAACAAGGCCAUCUAUGCAAGGAAAAAUGCAGAAAUUCUGUCUUCCUCAAGAUGCAGAAAUUUUGUCUUCCUCAAGACACAAAACCCUUGCAGCUUUUAGUAAUUGAGUUCAGCAACUGUGCCAUUUUGAUGCUUGAACGGUGAUCACCUCCUCAAAAAGGGUGUUCCUAAGCAAGCAAGAGCACAGAAGCUGGAUCCCUUUUUGGAAGUUCUAAAAUUUAAGAUAAAGAACGAAGCUAGUCGAAACAAGUUCAAGUCAUGUGUCAUCAUACAUGUAUUUCUACAUUUAGGAUUCUGCCUCAUCCUAACAGAGGUCGAUAAAAAAGUUCAGUCUCAAGAUUUGUAACUACUUUACACAAUUAAUAAACCUAUAAGUAAGCAAAUGGUUCACUGAUUAUUCGGUGAAGAGCACACAUCGCAUGGAAUCCAGAGAACAAAAAAGAAAUCUAGAGUACAGUCUCAUAGCAGCUCUCCAUUCAGCACAUACAUAUAUUGAACCACGACUACUAAUUUCGAAUAUGGUUAAAGACAAUAGCAUAAAAAAAACAACUUGCCAUCUGCAUGGCCAAUAUUUGUAGCCCCCCAUAAAUUAACGUGGUCAAUGUAUUCAUUUCCCACCAACUGAUUCAAAGGCACAGACUGGUGAAUUUACAUCACCCAGCACCAAAUGCGAGAGUCACAUUCUUCUGAGUCAAAAUUAAAAAACUCGACAAAAGAACAACUACUCCUUUGCCAUUAUAAGGUGAAGAUUGUGAUAUGCUCAAUUGGAAAAAAAAAAAAAGGAAGAAGAAGGUGACUUGUUAUUUUUGGAUGUCAAAAUGUUGCUUUUUAUUUCAUUGUAUUCAAACUUGUAGGUUUUGCAAUUGAAUAUUUUAAAUUAUAAUACUUUGUGGAAAUGAUAAUGGAUGGUAUCACUAACCAGCAUACUAAAUAAAAUCUACGAUGUUACACUUGAUGCUAACUUUAUCCAUUCUGAGUUGGAUUGAUUCUAGAUCAACGAAAUCUAUGUUCAUUACCUAGGAGAAGUCAUCCUCUUUUCUGAUUUCUUACGUUCUUCACGUCAAUUGUUGAUUACAACUAAGAGAAGUUUCCCUAAAUUCUUGAUCAGAACAGUGCAUAAAUUCAUCCAAUUUUCAUAUGAGAAUUUCAACAAACACAAAAUGGAUAGAGAGAAAUUACCUUUCAGUGUCAGGUUUCAGCGAGAGCUUGCUUCCUUUACCUAGCGAGAUUUGUUAGAGAGGGUUGCAGCGAGGCCCAUCCAAGCUUUCAGCGAGCUUCCUCACCGUUCUCCCAAGGUUUCAGCGAGCUUCCUCACCGUUCUCCCAAGGUUUCAGCGAGUUUCCUCAUGGAAAAAGAGAAAAAGAGAUUCUGCCAGCUUCAGCCAGAAUUCAAGGAGUUUGGGCGAGAAAGGGGUUUUUCUCGCUGAAAAAGGGCAGAACGGCUUCCAAACUGCUGAUUUUGUUGGGUUUUACCCCAAGCCGUUGAUCGCACCUCAUACGUAUACGCGAACGAGCGUAUACAAGCGUUUUCUAUAUAUAUAAACGAGCGUAUACAAGCGUUUUAUAUAUAUAUAUAGCGGAGAGGUCUUCCCAUCGGCUAUAGACGAAAAUAAACAGUGAUUUCACCAAGUCAUUUCACUGUUCAAAGUUUAUUGUACGGUUAUAAGUUUUUGAUAGUGUUUUUUACAAAUUGGAAUGAUCUGAAAUUUGGAACGUGUGUAUAUCUUAGUGAGGUACAGCUAAUAAAAAUAUAUAAAAAAUAAUUCAUAAAAAACAAUUGAUCAAAAUACAAUUGAAACAUUUUAAGAGUAUUUUAGUCAAUUUAUUUCAUGUAAAAUAUGUUUUUG